Molecule: ribosomal RNA, 468 nt
Filed under: uncultured bacterium
Lineage: Bacteria
Description: partial 16S ribosomal RNA
Rfam family: Bacterial small subunit ribosomal RNA
Source: RNAcentral
GACGAACGCUGGCGGCGUGCUUAACACAUGCAAGUCGAACGGAAAGGCCCUGCUUUUGUGGGGUGCUCGAGUGGCGAACGGGUGAGUAACACGUGAGUAACCUGCCCUUGACUUUGGGAUAACUUCAGGAAACUGGGGCUAAUACCGGAUAGGAGCUCCUGCUGCAUGGUGGGGGUUGGAAAGUUUCGGCGGUUGGGGAUGGACUCGCGGCUUAUCAGCUUGUUGGUGGGGUAGUGGCUUACCAAGGCUUUGACGGGUAGCCCGCAUGAGAGGGUGACCGGCAUGAAUGGGACUGAGAUAAGGCCCAGACUCCUACGGGAGGCAGCAGUGGGGACUAUUGCACAAUGGGCGGAAGCCUGAUGGUGCAACGCCGCGUGUGUGAUGACGGCGUUCGGGUUGUAAACCGAUUUCGCCUGAGACGAAGCGUGUGUGACGGUAAUGGGUAAAGAAGCACCGGCUAACUACGUG